GAUGAACGCUAGCGGCAGGCUUAAUACAUGCAAGUCGUGGGGCAGCAGGACUGUAGCCCUACAGUUGCUGGCGACCGGCAAACGGGUGCGGAACACGUACGCAACUUACCCUGAACUGGGGGAUAGCCCGGGGAAACCCGGAUUAAUACCCCGUAAUAUAAUGGCGUGGCAUCCCUUUAUUAUUAAAGCUCCGGCGGUUCGGGAUUGGCGUUCGGCUGAUUAGGUAGUUGGUUGAGGUAACGGCUCACCAAGCCUACGAUCAGUAACUGGUGUGAGAGCACGACCAGUCACACGGGCACUGAGACACGGGCCCGAAUCCUACGGGAGGCAGCAGUAAGGAAUAUUGGGCAAGGGAGGCAACUCUGACCCAGCCAUGCCGCGUGGAGGAGGAAGGCCCUCUGGGUUGUAAACUUCUUUUAUAGGGGACGAAACCUGUGUAUUCUUACGCAGUUGACGGUACCAUAGGAAUAAGCACCGGCUAACUCCGUG
RNAcentral lists this ribosomal RNA (489 nucleotides) under uncultured bacterium. RNAcentral describes it as "partial 16S ribosomal RNA". It matches the Rfam family "Bacterial small subunit ribosomal RNA", at positions 28 to 507 of the family's 1533-position model. The record is from RNAcentral.